This is a regulatory RNA element of Seonamhaeicola sp. S2-3, 125 nucleotides long. It matches the Rfam family "Bacteroidete tryptophan peptide leader RNA". NCBI's taxonomy places the organism in Bacteria, Pseudomonadati, Bacteroidota, Flavobacteriia, Flavobacteriales, Flavobacteriaceae. The record is from Rfam.
GACUCACAGAAAAAAAAUAAAUGAAUACACAAUUAAAUAAUACUUGGUGGUGGUGCUUCAGAAACUCAACGUUCGUGAAGUAGAAACCUAGUAUAUUUAAUAUUAAAAUAUCAAUAAGGCUUGUC